Molecule: long non-coding RNA, 521 nt
Filed under: Rattus norvegicus (Norway rat)
Lineage: Eukaryota; Metazoa; Chordata; Mammalia; Rodentia; Muridae
Description: long non-coding RNA NONRATT033193
Source: RNAcentral
GGAAGAUUUUCAUCAUGGUCCUGGGAGUUGGACUCCUAGUACCUGCUAUGGCUACAUUAGGGUCCACCUGGCUUAUUGGCUGGUAGCUAGUUCCCUUGGGAACCAGAACAAUCUUCCUGCACAUUGAGUAAUCUGCUUCCUUUCCCUGCCCGGGGCAAGAGUCGGCUCAGGGAAAGUGAAGAAACCAGUUUGGGGCAGCACUAGGGUGGGCGUGGGCUGGGCACUGCCAGGAACUCUGCGGCAAGACCAGUUUCCAUUGCUUCCGGACCGGAUGCAGGGCUGCGAUCCGGGCGGAGACCAGAGAAUUGCGCCCGUGAGCGCACCUGUGGGCCCAGAUCUUGCUCCCCAAGAAAAUCCAGAGACCAAAGAAGUGGAAAGUUCACACUGGCGUGCCAACACAACUGUACUCAGAGAAAGAAGAGCAUCAAAGUGUCUAUAUGGCAUAUUUCCACUUAUAGAAAAUGGAAGCUGAUCUACAGAAAAAUGAAAAAAGUAAGCAAAUGCUUAUUUGCUGAAGGGAG